AUGGAGCUUCAAGAGGAAAGCUCUGAUGUCGGGGCUUUGGUCUCAGCACCAUCAAGGAACCUGUCAUCCUCUUCCUCCACAUUUGUUUCUGCCAACCAGUCACCUUUCUUCACACCACGGUCACUGUCUGCUCGUCGCCCGGAGCAUGCUCAUGUCCAGCACAAUAACUCCCCGACUGGUAUCGCACUGAAAAUCGGUGAUAUUCUUUCCAGUGACACUCUGGUGCAGCAGCGGCAGUUACCAUCAGCCAGCAUAAGGUUAUUGCUAGACGAUGCUUCUCCUCCUCCCAGCCUUUGCACUUCAAGUAAUUUUGGAACUCCAGCAAUUGUCUAUAACAAUCCCAGCUUCAUUUCCACCUUCAAUGGCCCAUACCAAGGUAGUUCAUCAGCGACUCCGACUAGCAAUUGUGAUCGUUCAACUCGAAAGGAGAAACAGAAGAGACAGGUGGGAGUAUAUCGGAAAUCUUCGUCCUCUCAACCUACGCCAUCAGCAGCUUCUGUCAGUAGGCUUCGGACCUAUGAUGUGUACAUAGGGUUUCAUGGCCGCAAGGCUUCACUGCUGAGGUUCACAAAUUGGCUUCGUGCAGAACUUGAGAUUCAUGGAAUCAGUUGCUUUGCUUCUGAUCGGGCCAGGUGUCGGAAUUCACACAGCCAUGAUGCUGUUGAGAGGGUAAUGAAUGCUUCCACAUAUGGAAUUGUCAUCCUUACAAAGAAGUCAUUUGGCAAUCCUUAUACCAUUGAGGAGCUCAGGAACUUCUUUGGCAAGAAAAAUCUGAUCCCUAUAUUCUUUGACUUGAGUGCUGCUGAUUGCCUUGCCAGAGAUAUCAUAGAGAAGAGAGGAGAACUGUGGGAAAAACAUGGCGGUGAGCUGUGGAUGUUAUAUGGUGGAAUGGAGAAUGAAUGGAGGGAAUCAGUUGAUGCUCUUUCUCGGGUGGUAGAUGUGCAGUUAGAAGCGAAUGAUACCAAUUGGAGAGCCUCCAUACUGCAAGCAGUUAUCCUUUUGGCCACGAAAUUAGGUAGGAGAAGUGUGGUUGAUCGGGUGAAUAGGUGGAGAUUGAGGGUGGAGAAAGAUGAAUUUCCUUUCCCUCGCAAUGGUGAUUUCGUCGGGAGGAAAAAGGAGCUCUCGGAGUUGGAGCUCAUUUUGUUUGGUGAUGUCAGUGGGGAAGGGGAAAAGAAGUAUUUUGAGCUCAAGACAAAACACAGAAGAAAAGGCCCUGUGAGUGGCUGGUCUGCUGACAAUUAUGAGCAACUAAAUGCAGAUACCAUCAAGGGAAAGGAACCAGUUUUGUGGAAGGAGACUGAGGAAGGCAUUGAGAUGCAGAGACUGGGCACUCCACUGCAGCAUGGCCGACAGCCGAGAGUGAAGAAUGGUGGGAGAUAUGGAAGGAAGAAAAAAACUAGGAAGAUACUCUAUGGAAAGGGCAUUGCUUGCAUAUCAGGGGAAUCUGGAAUGGGCAAGACAGACUUGGCUUUGGAGUACGCAUACAGGUUCUCCCAGAGAUAUAAGAUGAUUUUGUGGGUCAGAGGGGAGAGCAGAUACAUUCGACAUAAUUAUUUGUCUUUGCGGACUCAUUUGGAAGUAGAUUUAAGUGUUGAUACUCGCUUGCAUGAGAAAGGAAGUGACCGAUGCUUUGAGGAACAGGAAGAGGAAGCCAUUGCCAAGAUAAGACAAGAACUGAUGCGGGACAUACCGUAUUUAGUUAUCAUUGAUAAUCUGGAGAGUGAGAAGGACUGGUGGGAUAAGAGAGUCAUAAUGGACCUUCUCCCACAAUUUGGUGGAGAGACUCACUUCAUCAUAACAACACGCCUUCCACGGGUGAUGAACUUGGAGCCAAUGAAGCUUUCUUAUUUAUCUGGUGCUGAGGCAAUGACUUUGAUGAAGGGGGCUGUCAAGGAAUACCCGCUAAUGGAAAUUGAUGCGCUCAAGGUCAUUGAAGAAAAGCUUGGGAGGCUCACUCUUGGCCUAGGUAUUGUUGGAGCUAUACUCUCGGAGCUUCCAAUUACUCCAAGCAGGCUUCUUGACACGUUGAAUCGGCCAUCGCCCAUAAGAGAUUUUUCUUGGAAUGACAGAGAAGUAAUCAGCUUGAAAAAUCAUGAAAUCCUUGUUAGACUCCUGGAUGUCUGCCUAUCUAUAUUUGAGCAUGCAGAUGGCCCCAGGAGUCUGGCAAUUCGUAUGGUUCAAGUGAGUGGUUGGUUUGCACCAUCUGCAGUUCCAAUUCAUAUGUUGGCUCUGGCUGCACAUAAAAUCCCAAAGAAGCAUCGGAGGGGUCCAAGGUGGAGGAAGUGGUGGCGAGCACUAACUUGUGGCCUUGCAACUUCUAGGAUGCAGAGAUCUGAAGCAGAAGCAGCUGCAAUGUUGAUGAGGUUUGGAAUUGCCAGGUGCAGCGCAAAGUCUGAGUAUAUCCAGUUCCAUGAUAUGAUCAGGCUAUAUGCUCGCAAGCGAGGAGGCACAAGAACGGCUCAAGCUGCAGUCCAAUCAGUGUACCUCCGAGGAUCAAUUAAACAUUCUUCUGAGCACCUAUGGGCUGCCUGCUUCAUGGCUUUUGGAUUUGGUUCUGAUCCUUUUCUGGUAGAACUGAGGCCAUCUGAGUUGAUGUUCUUCGUGAAGCAGAUUGUCGUGCCACUUGCGAUAAACACAUUCAUCACAUAUUCCCGAUGCAAUGCUGCCCUGGAGCUGCUGCGCCUGUGCACUGACGCAUUGGAGCGUGCAGCUGAAUCCAUGCUCUCCCAUGCUGGCAAAUGGAGGGAAACAUCAAUCUCCUGCUUUAGGCCAGUUCAGUCAGAAGCCCAGUAUACCUAUCUUUGGCAGGAGCUGGCUCUUCUGAAAGCUUCUGUACUAGAAACACGGGCGAAGCUGAUGCUCCGAGGCGGACAGUAUGGCAUCGGGGAUGACCUGAUACGGAAGGCCAUAUUCAUCCGCACUUCCAUCUGCGGCGAGCACCACCCCGACACGGGUUCUACCAAUAUAUGUUGGCUUUGGAGCAAAGCUACUCUGUUGUUGUUACUAGAUUGUACUAGUACUUCCAACUGCAUGCACAGAAGACUUUGA
Molecule: ribosomal RNA, 3048 nt
Filed under: Triticum aestivum (bread wheat)
Lineage: Eukaryota; Viridiplantae; Streptophyta; Magnoliopsida; Poales; Poaceae
Description: partial small subunit ribosomal RNA
Source: RNAcentral